GACGAACGCUGGCGGCGUGCUUAACACAUGCCAGUCGAACGGAAAGGCCCUGCUUUUGUGGGGUGCUCGAGUGGCGAACGGGUGAGUAACACGUGAGUAACCUGCCCUUGACUUUGGGAUAACUUCAGGAAACUGGGGCUAAUACCGGAUAGGAGCUCCUGCUGCAUGGUGGGGGUUGGAAAGUUUCGGCGGUUGGGGAUGGACUCGCGGCUUAUCAGCUUGUUGGUGGGGUAGUGGCUUACCAAGGCUUUGACGGGUAGCCGGCCUGAGAGGGGGACCGGCCACAUUGGGACUGAGAUACGGCCCAGACUCCUACGGGAGGCAGCAGUGGGGAAUAUUGCACAAUGGGAGGAAGCCUGAUGCAGCAACGCCGCGUGCGUGAUGACGGCCUUCGGGUUGUAAACCGCUUUCGCCUGUGACGAAGCGUGAGUGACGGUAAUGGGUAAAGAAGCACCGGCUAACUACGUG
RNAcentral lists this ribosomal RNA (468 nucleotides) under uncultured bacterium. RNAcentral describes it as "partial 16S ribosomal RNA". It matches the Rfam family "Bacterial small subunit ribosomal RNA", at positions 28 to 507 of the family's 1533-position model. The record is from RNAcentral.